Molecule: ribosomal RNA, 377 nt
Filed under: uncultured Serratia sp.
Lineage: Bacteria; Pseudomonadati; Pseudomonadota; Gammaproteobacteria; Enterobacterales; Yersiniaceae
Description: bacterial SSU rRNA
Rfam family: Bacterial small subunit ribosomal RNA
Source: RNAcentral
UAAUACGGAGGGUGCAAGCGUUAAUCGGAAUUACUGGGCGUAAAGCGCACGCAGGCGGUUUGUUAAGUCAGAUGUGAAAUCCCCGGGCUCAACCUGGGAACUGCAUUUGAAACUGGCAAGCUAGAGUCUCGUAGAGGGGGGUAGAAUUCCAGGUGUAGCGGUGAAAUGCGUAGAGAUCUGGAGGAAUACCGGUGGCGAAGGCGGCCCCCUGGACGAAGACUGACGCUCAGGUGCGAAAGCGUGGGGAGCAAACAGGAUUAGAUACCCUGGUAGUCCACGCUGUAAAACGAUGUCGAUUUGGAGGUUGUGCCCUUGAGGCGUGGCUUCCGGAGCUAACGCGUUAAAUCGACCGCCUGGGGAGUACGGCCGCAAGGUUA